This is a non-coding RNA of Pelobates cultripes (western spadefoot toad), 715 nucleotides long. The record is from the annotation of a GenBank genome assembly. Lineage: Eukaryota; Metazoa; Chordata; Amphibia; Anura; Pelobatidae.
GGAGCACAGGGCAGCCCUACCUGGAGAGUGAGAGAGAGCACAGGGCAGCCCUACCUGGAGAGUGAGUGGGAGCACAGCGCAGCCCUACCUGGAGUGUGAGUGUGAGCACAGGGCAGUCCGGUCUAGAGAGUGAGUGGGAGCACAGGGCAGUCCUACAUGGAGAGUGAGUGGGAGCACAGGGCAGUCCUACAUGGAGAGUGAGUGGGAGCACAGGGCAGUCCUACAUGGAGAGUGAGUGGGAGCACAGGGCAGUCCUGUCUGGAGAGUGAGUGGGAGCACAGGGCAGUCCUACAUGGAGAGUGAGUGAGAGCACAGGGCAGUCCUGUCUGGAGAGUGAGUGGGAGCACAGGGCAGUCCUGUCUGGAGGAGGGUGAAUGUGUACUCAAGGCUGAGGGGAAAGGGCAAACCCUUAAUGUGAGUGAUUGCAGUGUCCUCCCAGUGUUAGUUGGUGAGUACAAGGUAGAAUUCCGCUGUGUGCUUGCAGUUCUGGAUACUGAGUGCAGGUACUGAGCAAAAUGAUUGACAGCUGCCAAUCAAAAUUCUGAGUGAGUGCAGUGAGAGAUAUGAGUGGCUGCCGUUUACAAUCCAGCAGGCUGGGUUGCUGCACUCAUAUUAUGCGAGUUCACUAAGUGCAAAGUUAAAUCCAACAGGCGGAGUGAGUGAAGAUUCAAUCCAGCAGACUGAAAGCAGUGUUAAAACCAUCUGUCUGUAUCCU